AACGAACGCUGGCGGCAUGCCUAACACAUGCAAGUCGAACGAGACCUUCGGGUCUAGUGGCGCACGGGUGCGUAACGCGUGGGAACCUGCCCUUAGGUUCGGAAUAACUCCCCGAAAGGGGUGCUAAUACCGGAUAAUGUCUUCGGACCAAAGAUUUAUCGCCUUUGGAUGGGCCCGCGUUGGAUUAGCUAGUUGGUGGGGUAAAAGCCUACCAAGGCGACGAUCCAUAGCUGGUCUGAGAGGAUGAUCAGCCACACUGGGACUGAGACACGGCCCAGACCCCUAGGGGAGGCCGCAGGGGGGAAUAUUGGAAAGUGGGCGAAAGCCUGAUCCAGCAAUGCCGGGGGAGUGAUGAAGGCCUUGGGGUUGUAAAGCUCUUUUACCCGGGAUGAUAAUGACAGUCCCGGGAAAAUAAGCCCCGGCUAACUCCGU
This 432-nucleotide ribosomal RNA is filed under the name uncultured bacterium. Its description in RNAcentral is "partial 16S ribosomal RNA". It matches the Rfam family "Bacterial small subunit ribosomal RNA", at positions 29 to 506 of the family's 1533-position model. The record is from RNAcentral.